UUAAGCGACUAAGCGUACACGGUGGAUGCCCUGGCAGUCAGAGGCGAUGAAGGACGUGCUAAUCUGCGAUAAGCGUCGGUAAGGUGAUAUGAACCGUUAUAACCGGCGAUUUCCGAAUGGGGAAACCCAGUGUGAUUCGUCACACUAUCAUUAACUGAAUCCAUAGGUUAAUGAGGCGAACCGGGGGAACUGAAACAUCUAAGUACCCCGAGGAAAAGAAAUCAACCGAGAUUCCCCCAGUAGCGGCGAGCGAACGGGGAGGAGCCCAGAGCCUGAAUCAGUGUGUGUGUUAGUGGAAGCGUCUGGAAAGGCGCGCGAUACAGGGUGACAGCCCCGUACACAAAAAUGCACAUGCUGUGAGCUCGAUGAGUAGGGCGGGACACGUGGUAUCCUGUCUGAAUAUGGGGGACCAUCCUCCAAGGCUAAAUACUCCUGACUGACCGAUAGUGAACCAGUACCGUGAGGGAAAGGCGAAAAGAACCCCGGCGAGGGGAGUGAAAAAGAACCUGAAACCGUGUACGUACAAGCAGUGGGAGCACGCUUAGGCGUGUGACUGCGUACCUUUUGUAUAAUGGGUCAGCGACUUAUAUUCUGUAGCAAGGUUAACCGAAUAGGGGAGCCGAAGGGAAACCGAGUCUUAACUGGGCGUUAAGUUGCAGGGUAUAGACCCGAAACCCGGUGAUCUAGCCAUGGGCAGGUUGAAGGUUGGGUAACACUAACUGGAGGACCGAACCGACUAAUGUUGAAAAAUUAGCGGAUGACUUGUGGCUGGGGGUGAAAGGCCAAUCAAACCGGGAGAUAGCUGGUUCUCCCCGAAAGCUAUUUAGGUAGCGCCUCGUGAAUUCAUCUCCGGGGGUAGAGCACUGUUUCGGCAAGGGGGUCAUCCCGACUUACCAACCCGAUGCAAACUGCGAAUACCGGAGAAUGUUAUCACGGGAGACACACGGCGGGUGCUAACGUCCGUCGUGAAGAGGGAAACAACCCAGACCGCCAGCUAAGGUCCCAAAGUCAUGGUUAAGUGGGAAACGAUGUGGGAAGGCCCAGACAGCCAGGAUGUUGGCUUAGAAGCAGCCAUCAUUUAAAGAAAGCGUAAUAGCUCACUGGUCGAGUCGGCCUGCGCGGAAGAUGUAACGGGGCUAAACCAUGCACCGAAGCUGCGGCAGCGACGCUUAUGCGUUGUUGGGUAGGGGAGCGUUCUGUAAGCCUGUGAAGGUGUGCUGUGAGGCAUGCUGGAGGUAUCAGAAGUGCGAAUGCUGACAUAAGUAACGAUAAAGCGGGUGAAAAGCCCGCUCGCCGGAAGACCAAGGGUUCCUGUCCAACGUUAAUCGGGGCAGGGUGAGUCGACCCCUAAGGCGAGGCCGAAAGGCGUAGUCGAUGGGAAACAGGUUAAUAUUCCUGUACUUGGUGUUACUGCGAAGGGGGGACGGAGAAGGCUAUGUUGGCCGGGCGACGGUUGUCCCGGUUUAAGCGUGUAGGCUGGUUUUCCAGGCAAAUCCGGAAAAUCAAGGCUGAGGCGUGAUGACGAGGCACUACGGUGCUGAAGCAACAAAUGCCCUGCUUCCAGGAAAAGCCUCUAAGCAUCAGGUAACAUCAAAUCGUACCCCAAACCGACACAGGUGGUCAGGUAGAGAAUACCAAGGCGCUUGAGAGAACUCGGGUGAAGGAACUAGGCAAAAUGGUGCCGUAACUUCGGGAGAAGGCACGCUGAUAUGUAGGUGAAGUCCCUCGCGGAUGGAGCUGAAAUCAGUCGAAGAUACCAGCUGGCUGCAACUGUUUAUUAAAAACACAGCACUGUGCAAACACGAAAGUGGACGUAUACGGUGUGACGCCUGCCCGGUGCCGGAAGGUUAAUUGAUGGGGUUAGCGCAAGCGAAGCUCUUGAUCGAAGCCCCGGUAAACGGCGGCCGUAACUAUAACGGUCCUAAGGUAGCGAAAUUCCUUGUCGGGUAAGUUCCGACCUGCACGAAUGGCGUAAUGAUGGCCAGGCUGUCUCCACCCGAGACUCAGUGAAAUUGAACUCGCUGUGAAGAUGCAGUGUACCCGCGGCAAGACGGAAAGACCCCGUGAACCUUUACUAUAGCUUGACACUGAACAUUGAGCCUUGAUGUGUAGGAUAGGUGGGAGGCUUUGAAGUGUGGACGCCAGUCUGCAUGGAGCCGUACCUUGAAAUACACCCUUUAAUGUUUGAUGUUCUAACGUGGACCCGUAAUCCGGGUUGCGGACAGUGUCUGGUGGGUAGUUUGACUGGGGCGGUCUCCUCCUAAAGAGUAACGGAGGAGCACGAAGGUUGGCUAAUCCUGGUCGGACAUCAGGAGGUUAGCGCAAUGGCAUAAGCCAGCUUGACUGCGAGCGUGACGGCGCGAGCAGGUGCGAAAGCAGGUCAUAGUGAUCCGGUGGUUCUGAAUGGAAGGGCCAUCGCUCAACGGAUAAAAGGUACUCCGGGGAUAACAGGCUGAUACCGCCCAAGAGUUCAUAUCGACGGCGGUGUUUGGCACCUCGAUGUCGGCUCAUCACAUCCUGGGGCUGAAGUAGGUCCCAAGGGUAUGGCUGUUCGCCAUUUAAAGUGGUACGCGAGCUGGGUUUAGAACGUCGUGAGACAGUUCGGUCCCUAUCUGCCGUGGGCGCUGGAGAAUUGAGGGGGGCUGCUCCUAGUACGAGAGGACCGGAGUGGACGCAUCACUGGUGUUCGGGUUGUCAUGCCAAUGGCACUGCCCGGUAGCUAAAUGCGGAAGAGAUAAGUGCUGAAGGCAUCUAAGCACGAAACUUGCCCCGAGAUGAGUUCUCCCUGACUCCUUGAGAGUCCUGAAGGAACGUUGAAGACGACGACGUUGAUAGGCCGGGUGUGUAAGCGCAGCGAUGCGUUGAGCUAACCGGUACUAAUGAACCGUGAGGCUUAACCUU
RNAcentral lists this ribosomal RNA (2901 nucleotides) under Escherichia coli P0304816.1. Its description in RNAcentral is "bacterial LSU rRNA". It matches the Rfam family "Bacterial large subunit ribosomal RNA". The record is from RNAcentral. Lineage: Bacteria; Pseudomonadati; Pseudomonadota; Gammaproteobacteria; Enterobacterales; Enterobacteriaceae.